CUCUGCAGAAAGCCAGAUUUAGUAAACAAAAGUGCAGAUUGCCUAGUUAAAUGUGAGUUUCAGAUAAUGAAUGAGAUAUCCUUAUACGAAAAAGGGAUUCAAUUUUGCUAGGCAUCCUGUAUUUUAUCUAGCACCUAGGAGGUGCGAGUAAGAGAAUGGGGCACAAUCUCUCAGGCAUCUCCAGUUAUCUGAGGGCGGUGUUCUGAAGGGAAGCUCUGGUGCUCUGGAUGAUUGUGAGCCCUCUGCAGCUAAGAAUCACAGCAGGCAGUGGUUGCGUGCAGCAGCCAGUAACCUGGGAAACACAUCAGCAGCGCCCACUACAGGCAGGGACUAUGGGGGCAGCUCAUCAGUCAUAGUGAAAAAGAAGGUCCUGCCCAGACAUUUAAGUCCAAACCGUCGCCAUCAGGCAGUUUCUUUGAAGGAUUCUGCAUCAGCAUUACAAGAACCUGAGAGACUGUGGAUUCUGACCUGCAAGAGCCUCAAGGGGCUGGCCUUCAGGAGGUGGAAGCAGACCGACCUUGGAGUAAAAGAGUGAUUACACAUAAAGCCAUCGAGAUGAUGCUGACCAGACCAUCACACGAUCAGUCUUGAGAUGAUUACUGGAGUUGACUGUGUUGUUCUACACGUAGCUUCCCUGCUUGUGCACCCCUGAAACUCCCCUUUAAAACCUUUGUCCUCUAAGCAGCAACUAGGAGAUGGUCUCGGACAUUAGUCCACCAUUUUCCCAGGUUGCUGGCAUCCUGAGUAAAGCAACUUUUCCU
Camelus dromedarius (Arabian camel) is the source of this 761-nucleotide long non-coding RNA. RefSeq lists it as uncharacterized. The record is from RefSeq and is a predicted model, not a curated record. The transcript is spliced from 3 exons. NCBI's taxonomy places the organism in Eukaryota, Metazoa, Chordata, Mammalia, Artiodactyla, Camelidae.